RNAcentral lists this ribosomal RNA (253 nucleotides) under uncultured bacterium. RNAcentral describes it as "partial 16S ribosomal RNA". It matches the Rfam family "Bacterial small subunit ribosomal RNA", at positions 524 to 776 of the family's 1533-position model. The record is from RNAcentral.
UACAGAGGUCUCAAGCGUUGUCCGGGUUCAUUGGGCGUAAAGGGUGCGUAGGCGGCGCGGUAAGUCGGGUGUGAAAUCUCGGAGCUUAACUCCGAAACUGCAUUCGAUACUGCCGUGCUUGAGGACUGGAGAGGAGACUGGAAUUUACGGUGUAGCGGUGAAAUGCGUAGAUAUCGUAAGGAAGACCAGUGGCGAAGGCGGGUCUCUGGACAGUUCCUGACGCUGAGGCACGAAGGCCAGGGGAGCAAACGGG